Molecule: ribosomal RNA, 406 nt
Filed under: uncultured bacterium
Lineage: Bacteria
Description: partial 16S ribosomal RNA
Rfam family: Bacterial small subunit ribosomal RNA
Source: RNAcentral
AUUGAACGCUGGCGGAAGGCCUAACACAUGCAAGUCGAACGAGUGGCGGACGGGUGAGUAAUGUCUGGGAAAUGGCCUGAGGAGGGGGGAUAACACCGGGAAAGGGUGCCUAAUACGCCUUACCAUCGAUUGGGCCAAGCUGGGAUUAGCUAGUGGGUGGGGUAAAGGCUCACCUAGGCGACGAGCCCUAGCUGGUCUGAGAGGAUGACCAGCCACACUGGAACUGAGACACGGUCCAGACUCCUACGUGAGGCAGCAGUGGGGAAUAUUGCACAAUGGGCGCAAGCCUGAUACAGCCAUGCCGCGUGUAUGAAGAAGGCCUUCGGGUUGUAAAGUACUUUCAGCGGGGAGGCGUUACCCGCAGAAGAAGCACCGGCUAACUCCGUGCCAGCAGCCGCGGUAAUAC